This 510-nucleotide ribosomal RNA is filed under the name uncultured bacterium. RNAcentral's name for it is "bacterial SSU rRNA". It matches the Rfam family "Bacterial small subunit ribosomal RNA", at positions 8 to 518 of the family's 1533-position model. The record is from RNAcentral.
AGAGUUUGAUCAUGGCUCAGGACGAACGCUGGCGGCGUGCCUAACACAUGCAAGUCGAGCGGAGUCAGUAAGAGGAAGUUUCGGAUGGAAUCUUGUGAUUAGCGGCGGACGGGUGAGUAACGCGUGAGCGACCAACCUUGCACAGGGGGAUAACGGACCGAAAGGUUCACUAAUACCGCAUGAGACCACGGUGUUGCAUGGCACAGGGGUCAAAGGAGCAAUCCGGUGCAAGACGGGCUCGCGUCCGAUUAGGUAGUUGGAGGGUAACGGCCCACCAAGCCUAUGAUCGGUAGCCGACCUGAGAGGGUGAUCGGCCACAUUGGAACUGAGAUACGGUCCAAACUCCUACGGGAGGCAGCAGUGGGGAAUAUUGGGCAAAUGGGGGAAACCCUGACCCAGCAACGCCGCGUGAAGGAAGAAGGUUUUCGGAUUGUAAACUUCUGUCCUUGGUGAAGAGAAGAAGACGGUAGCCAAGGAGGAAGCCCCGGCUAACUACGUGCCAGCCGCCGC